RNAcentral lists this ribosomal RNA (827 nucleotides) under Hilberina sphagnorum. RNAcentral's name for it is "eukaryotic LSU rRNA". It matches the Rfam family "Eukaryotic large subunit ribosomal RNA", at positions 308 to 1155 of the family's 3401-position model. Lineage: Eukaryota; Fungi; Ascomycota; Sordariomycetes. The record is from RNAcentral.
UUCUAAAGCUAAAUACCGGCCAGAGACCGAUAGCGCACAAGUAGAGUGAUCGAAAGAUGAAAAGCACUUUGGAAAGAGGGUUAAACAGUACGUGAAAUUGUUGAAAGGGAAGCGCCCGCUACCAGACUCGGGCGCGGCGGAUCACCCGGCGUUCUCGCCGGCGCACUCCGCCGCGCCCGGGCCAGCAUCGGCCCCCGCGGGCGGACAAAGGCCCGGGGAACGUGGCUCCCCCGGGAGUGUUACAGCCCCGCCCGAAAUGCGCCCGCCGGGGGCCGAGGACCGCGCCCAACGGCAAGGAUGCUGGCGUAAUGGUCGUCGGCGACCCGUCUUGAAACACGGACCAAGGAGUCAAGGUUUUGCGCGAGUGUCUGGGCGUCAGAAACCCGCACGCGAAAUGAAAGUGAACGCAGGUGAGAGCCCCCGGGCGCAUCAUCGACCGAUCCCGACGUGCUCGGACGGAUUUGAGUGGGAGCGUCAAGCCUUGGACCCGAAAGAUGGUGAACUAUGCUCGGAUAGGGUGAAGCCAGAGGAAACUCUGGUGGAGGCUCGCAGCGGUUCUGACGUGCAAAUCGAUCGUCAAAUCUGAGCAUGGGGGCGAAAGACUAAUCGAACCAUCUAGUAGCUGGUUACCGCCGAAGUUUCCCUCAGGAUAGCAGUGUCGAUCUCAGUUUUAUGAGGUAAAGCGAAUGAUUAGGGACCCGGGGGCGAAUCUUAGCCUUCAUCCAUUCUCAAACUUUAAAUAUGUAAGAAGCCCUUGUUCCUUCGGUGAACGUGGGCGUUCGAAUGUAGCGACACUAGUGGGCCAUUUUUGGUAAGCAGAACUGGCG